This 378-nucleotide ribosomal RNA is filed under the name uncultured bacterium. RNAcentral describes it as "bacterial SSU rRNA". It matches the Rfam family "Bacterial small subunit ribosomal RNA", at positions 29 to 412 of the family's 1533-position model. The record is from RNAcentral.
AUUGAACGCUGGCGGAAUGCUUUACACAUGCAAGUCGAGCGGCAGCGCGGGGCGACCUGGCGGCGAGCGGCGAACGGGUGAGUAAUGCAUCGGAACAUGUCCAUUCGUGGGGGAUAGCCCGGCGAAAGCCGGAUUAAUACCGCAUACGCCCUGAGGGGGAAAGUGGGGACCGCAAGGCCUCACGCGAUUGGGUUGGCCGAUGUCCGAUUAGCUAGUUGGCGGGGUAAAGCCCACCAAGGCGAUGAUCGGUAGCUGGUCUGAGAGGAUGAUCAGCCACACUGGGACUGAGACACGGCCCAGACUCCUACGGGAGGCAGCAGUGGGGAAUUUUGGACAAGUGGGGAAACCCUGAUCCAGCCAUUCCGCGUGAGUGAAGAA